CCUACGGGCGGCAGCAGUGAAUUAACGGUACCUACAGAGGAAGCACCGGCUAACUACGUGCCAGCAGCCGCGGUAAUACGGAGGGUGCGAGCGUUAAUCGGAAUUACUGGGCGUAAAGCGCUCGUAGGCGGUAUGUCAAGUCAAGGGUGAAAUCACCACGCUCAACGUGGGAACUGCCUUUGAAACUGGCAAACUGGAGUGUGUGAGAGGAUAGUGGAAUUCCAGGUGUAGGAGUGAAAUCCGUAGAUAUCUGGAGGAACAUCAGUGGCGAAGGCGACUAUCUGGCACAUAACUGACGCUGAGGAGCGAAAGCGUGGGUAGCAAACAGGAUUAGAUACCCUUGUAGUC
RNAcentral lists this ribosomal RNA (348 nucleotides) under uncultured bacterium. RNAcentral's name for it is "partial 16S ribosomal RNA". It matches the Rfam family "Bacterial small subunit ribosomal RNA", at positions 450 to 795 of the family's 1533-position model. The record is from RNAcentral.